Molecule: long non-coding RNA, 737 nt
Filed under: Setaria viridis
Lineage: Eukaryota; Viridiplantae; Streptophyta; Magnoliopsida; Poales; Poaceae
Description: long non-coding RNA (SVIR_LNC010459)
Source: RNAcentral
UUGUGCUUCGUGCUUCUCUUCCCUAUCUUUUUAGGACAUGCAUUUUACACCCUUUAUUUGAGACGACUUUUUGGGCUAUUCCGCGUCCAAAUUUCAAGGCAAAGGGAAAAUUUUGCAUCGUUGAAACUUCUCUGGGCGUCCAUUAUAUGGCACCAUUUUUAAUAUGUUCUUAACGGGCUACACAACAUGACACUCAGUUAUAGCUAUUUAUAUGACCACCUUUUAGAGCCGUUGGUUUGCACAUUUGCCACAUGCCGUUCUUUUUGUCUUAAAGCAAGCCACUAUAAAAAAGAGGUAGUGAAAUCGAACGGUCACGAUCCGAUUUCUUUAGAAUUUGGUUCAGAGGGACUUUUUAUUUAGUUCAGACGGAUUUUUCGUUACGUAAAAGUUUCUGCUUUGUCCAUGUUAAUUUGUCGUCUAAUUUAAUUUGAAAUAUGUUCUUAUCUCGAUUUGUAUCCAGGAUUUUUUCAUUCCUUUUUCUUUAAAAAAUGGAGUUAGACAAAUACUACAUAUAAAUUUUUAGUUCAGUCCCACGUACUUAAUUCAAUGAGCUUGCAAACACUGCACAACUAUCCUUGAACCACCUUAAAAUAUUGAGGAUUUUUUUCUUUCCUUUUUCUUUUAAUAAAAAUGGAGUUAGACGCAUCAGUUUAUAAUCUGGACUCUUAUAUCUAUGACUACUAUCCAGAUUUAUAUAACUAUAUCCCAUCCCAUCCAAACAGCUCCUAACCUACCUC